This 425-nucleotide ribosomal RNA is filed under the name uncultured bacterium. RNAcentral's name for it is "partial 16S ribosomal RNA". It matches the Rfam family "Bacterial small subunit ribosomal RNA", at positions 354 to 796 of the family's 1533-position model. The record is from RNAcentral.
GUGGGGAAUCUUGCGCAAUGGGCGAAAGCCUGACGCAGCCAUGCCGCGUGAAUGAUGAAGGUCUUAGGAUUGUAAAAUUCUUUCACCGGGGACGAUAAUGACGGUACCCGGAGAAGAAGCCCCGGCUAACUUCGUGCCAGCAGCCGCGGUAAUACGAAGGGGGCUAGCGUUGCUCGGAAUUACUGGGCGUAAAGGGCGCGUAGGCGGACAGUUUAGUCAGAGGUGAAAGCCCAGGGCUCAACCUUGGAAUUGCCUUUGAUACUGGCUGUCUUGAGUACGGGAGAGGUGAGUGGAACGCCGAGUGUAGAGGUGAAAUUCGUAGAUAUUCGGAAGAACACCAGUGGCGAAGGCGACUCACUGGCCCGUUACUGACGCUGAGGCGCGAAAGCGUGGGGAGCAAACAGGAUUAGAUACCCGAGUAGUCC